CAGGCCUAACACAUGCAAGUCGAACGCACCGCAAGGUGAGUGGCAGACGGGUGAGUAACACGUGACUAACCUACCUUCGAGUGGGGGAUAACCUCGGGAAACCGAGGCUAAUACCGCAUAACAUCGCAAGAUCAAAGCAGCAAUGCGCUGGAAGAGGGGGUCGCGGCAGAUUAGCUAGUUGGCGGGGUAAUGGCCCACCAAGGCAGUGAUCUGUAUCCGGCCUGAGAGGGCGCACGGACACACUGGAACUGAAACACGGUCCAGACUCCUACGGGAGGCAGCAGUGGGGAAUUUUGCGCAAUGGGGGAAACCCUGACGCANCAACGCCGCGUGGAGGAUGAAGUCUCUUGGGACGUAAACUCCUUUCGAUUGGGAAGAUAAUGACGGUACCAAUAGAAGAAGCCCCGGCUAACUUCGUGCCAGCAGCCGCGGUAAUACA
This 439-nucleotide ribosomal RNA is filed under the name uncultured Acidobacteriota bacterium. Its description in RNAcentral is "bacterial SSU rRNA". It matches the Rfam family "Bacterial small subunit ribosomal RNA", at positions 43 to 527 of the family's 1533-position model. Lineage: Bacteria; Pseudomonadati; Acidobacteriota. The record is from RNAcentral.